AUGGGAUCCAAGGUGGGUGAGGCGUCUGGGUCAAACACUGCAUCGGAGGUGGAGAAGAUGAUGGCUGAGUUAGGGUUGCGUGAGGAGGACCUUGACGAUGUCGUCUUUGAUGAAAAGCAAGCGCCGCCAGAUGCUGUGAGAUGGAUGGCGGUGGCCAGGGUUCACAUCGACAAGCCGUACAGUCAAUACUGGUUCUUCAAGAACAUGCGUGCUGCCUGGGACUUGGCUCAUGAUGUGAAGUUUCGCCCUUUGGAGGACAACCUCUAUACUUUGCAAUUUUUCUGUUUAGUUGACUGGGAACGCGUGAUGCAGGAUGGCCCGUGGAAUUUCAGAGGUAAUGCGGUGGUGAUCGAGCUCUAUGAUGGAAUCACAAAACCCACGGAAGUCGCCCUUGAUACCAUCAACAUAUGGAUUCAAAUCCAUGAUGUUCCAGAUCUAUAUGCACAUCUUGUUAAUCCACUUGCAGCAAGGGUUGGCGAAGUCUUGUUCUCGGAGCCAAUCACGCAAGAUUUUGCUGGCAACUUCUACCGCGUGUGGGUCAAGAUCAAUGUACACAAGCCCCUAAAAAAUGUUGUGUCCAUGAUCCGAGACGGGAAAAGGAAGAUAUACCGCAUAAGAUACGAACGCCUCCCUGACUGGUGCGCAGUUUGCGGACACCUAGGGCAUGUGUACAAGGAGCAUGGCGUUGGCAUACAUCCUCCUUCCGCUCUGUAUUUCAAGGACCUUAGGGCGUCCUGGAGCAUGAAUGUUGGAACAGGCCCAGGAGGGGGCCGUGGCAGGGGCCGGCGUGGAGGCCGCUCUGGUCGCGGCGAGAGGGAAAACAACAAGGCACAAGAGCCGGAUUACAUGAAUGAUCCUGAUUUGGUUAUGCAGGAAGCGGAUGGCAACCGCAAACGACUCCCAGAUGAUCCCAGAAGAGAUGCAACGCCAGCUCAACUACAAUCCCCGCAGAGUCCAAUGGCCACACACACAUUUGUCACCAAAUAUCUCAGAGAACUGGCAGAAUGUAAACCAAAGGAGAUGACCCGCCAGGUGGCUGUUCCCAGAAGCUGGGUUAGAUGGAUCCGGCCUCCUCAGGGUUUUGCAAAGAUAAGAGUUGACGGUGCAGUCAACAGAGCGAUCUAUGAGGGAUCCUACAGUGCUAUUUGCAGAGAUGAGGGCGGGAUGUACAUGGGAUCUUCCGUGAUCAGGAAUGUUGGGAUUACCGAUCCAACAACUCUAGAGACUCUAGCAUGUCAUGAAGCAAUGGCUCUGGCGCUGGACCUGUCUUUAACUCAUGUGGAGAUUGCUUCAGACUGCAAAAACGCUGUUCAGGACAUAAACCUUGGCACUGGAGGAAUGAAUGCGAGCAUUGUGAAGGAGAUUAGGGAGACUACUUCUCUUUUUCAGAGUUGUACCUUCAUCUUUGAAGCGUUGGAGACGGGAGGUAGAGUUAGUAUAGGGAAGGAAGUAGAUGAUGCAAGGAAGAAGAUGGAGACAAGGGAGGGUAGGCGGGUGAUGGAUGGAGUUGGAGAUGGUAGGGCGCCGGAGGAGCCGGGAGCAGAUGUUGGCGCGGUAGUCGGGGAGGAUGAAGAUGAGGAUUGGGCCUAUGGCCCUGAACCAGAUCUGGAAGACAAAUUUGCAGGUAUGCAUCUGCAUGGGGAGGAGGAGGACGAUAUGCACCUGUCGGGUGAGAUGAGGAACGCGUGGGCGUCUGCACAGGGUGUGAUAAUUAACGUGAAGGGCCCGAACUUGUUCCUGGUUCAAUGUCACUGCCUUGGAGAUUGGAAGAGGGUGAUGGAAGGAGGGCCAUGGAUCUUCUGCAACGCUCCAGUGAUCCUUCAAGAGUAUGAUGGCUUUACUGAUAUGGCAGAGUAUAAGCUGAAUAAAUUACCGGUGUGGGCAAGGAUAAAAGGGCUGCCUGAUGGGCUUAUAGCAAAGAAAGAACAUGCAGAACGGGUGGCUGCAAAGGUGGGAGAACCACCAUUCACGGUGCUUGUGAAUGAGGGCAAAAUAAACCCGGCUGGUAUCUUGCGAGUUAGAGUUUUUGUGGAUGUUAACACCUCCUUGGUGAGAUUUGUCCCGAUCACUCUGAAAGAAAGGAAGAAAUACCCAGUGUUUUAUGAUAAGCUACCAGAUUUUUGCUACUUCUGCGGUCUGAUGGGCCAUACAGUUGAAGAGUGUGGUGAUGGCGUGCAUGAUCCACGCACCUGCGAGUGGGGUGAAUGGUUAUUGUGGAACCCGGGCCAGCCGACCUUUGCUGCAGGAGGGAUGGGAGGUAUGGAGGGAAGUGCUAGGGGUGGAAGAUCAGGUGGCAGAGGAGCUCGGGGAGGAAGACACACUGGAGGGGGAUCGAUGGGAGGAAGGAGAAGGCCAGAGGAUCAUACUGAAAGGGAAGAGAUGGAGUGUGCUGCUUAUGAACAGAACCCAACGGACAAUACCAAUGCUCGCAAGAGGCUGGUCUCUUCGGAUGGGACUGUGAAUAUCCGUGGGCAAUCUAUACCAAACCUUGCUGGGAGGGUUGCGGGAACAAUUUUGCAGCUAGAAAAUGGACCUGAUGGAGUAACUCGCGAUGCCACUGCAGCUUCGGCAUCGACCCCAGAGAAGGCACCGAUAGUGAAGAGGAGGAAGCAGGGGGAUGAGCAGGGAGUAGAUGAGAUGGAGCUGAGCACUAAGGCGGCCUCCGAGUAUCUGGAGGAUUUGGAGAUUGCUUCGGCAAGGACCAUACAGCCAACUAGGGGGCCAGCACAACCUCGUGUCCAGAGGUGGAUCGCUCCAGGUGAAAACUCGGCAAAGAUAAAUGUUGAUGGAGGAUUGUCACGCAAUGGACGCAUGGGCGCUGCUGCAGCAGUUUGUCGAGAUAAGGAUGGCAAGUAUCUGGAAGCCUCGGCGACGAUCUUUGAAGGACUAGUUGAUGCACCAAACCUGGAAGCUUGUGCAUGCAAUGAAGCCCUCUCCCUCGCAAAGGAUCUCAACAUAACACAUGUGAUAAUAGCUUCAAAUUGUAUGCAGGUUGUCUCGGAUAUCAACCAGGCUCCGUGCGCCACCGUGCCGCGUCUUCGUGCCUCGCGCCACUGCGCCUCCACGGUCGUCGUGCCGAGCCACCGCGGCCUCUGCGCCACCAUGCAGGUCCUCCGCGACCUCCUCGCCUCCGCGACCACCGUGCUCGUCGCGCGCACGAUAUCACAAUGA
Molecule: ribosomal RNA, 3171 nt
Filed under: Triticum aestivum (bread wheat)
Lineage: Eukaryota; Viridiplantae; Streptophyta; Magnoliopsida; Poales; Poaceae
Description: partial small subunit ribosomal RNA
Source: RNAcentral